GAUGAACGCUGACAGAAUGCUUAACACAUGCAAGUCUACUUGAACUUCGGUUUGGGUGGCGGACGGGUGAGUAACGCGUAAAGAACUUGCCUCACAGAUAGGGACAACAUUUGGAAACGAAUGCUAAUACCUGAUGUUAUGAUUUUAGGGCAUCCUAGAAUUAUGAAAGCUAUAUGCACUGUGAGAGAGCUUUGCGUCCCAUUAGCUAGUUGGAGAGGUAACGGCUCACCAAGGCGAUGAUGGGUAGCCGGCCUGAGAGGGUGAUCGGCCACAAGGGGACUGAGACACGGCCCUUACUCCUACGGGAGGCAGCAGUGGGGAAUAUUGGACAAUGGACCAAGAGUCUGAUCCAGCAAUUCUGUGUGCACGAUGAAGUUUUUCGGAAUGUAAAGUGCUUUCAGUUGGGAAGAAAAAAAUGACGGUACCAACAGAAGAAGUGACGGCUAAAUACGUG
RNAcentral lists this ribosomal RNA (454 nucleotides) under uncultured bacterium. RNAcentral's name for it is "partial 16S ribosomal RNA". It matches the Rfam family "Bacterial small subunit ribosomal RNA", at positions 28 to 507 of the family's 1533-position model. The record is from RNAcentral.